Molecule: long non-coding RNA, 2320 nt
Organism: Leopardus geoffroyi (Geoffroy's cat)
Lineage: Eukaryota; Metazoa; Chordata; Mammalia; Carnivora; Felidae
Exons: 3
Source: RefSeq, a predicted model, not a curated record
AAGAGAUCUGGAGCGUCAUUGUGAGAUGAUGACCGCACAGCACCGUGAAUCAGCAAAGCACUGCGACAUCAGAAUGGGAUGUGACCAAGCAUUUCCCGAGAGAAGAGCAAACAGCCUUCCUCAGCUGACAAGUGGGCCCAUGGUGGGGCUGUGCCUGCAACCCCAGGCUCCUGAUUGGCAGCCCAGGGCUCUUUCUAGUAGUCCAUUCUGGCUCUUGUGGAGAACUGAGUGAGACCCUGUCCCCCUGAUGGCAAGAGCGAGGGGCAAGUAUGGUGGGAAGGGGAGCAUUCAGUGGAAGCUGGGAGUUGAAAGUAACCGUUUUCAGGUGGGCCAGAGUAAUAUUCAAAUACUUACCAUUUACCAGGUACAAGGAAGAAAGAAAACUGUGAUGGACACUGCUGUAUUAUUGGCCAACGAGAAUCCACUAACCUCUCCCAUCCGGGCCUUAAUGUCCUUUCAGAGGAUCAUCUCUCCCUCUCCCACAGGGAGCAGCAUGAGAAGAGACUGUUUAGACCAGGGGGAGUUUCUGCUGUUUCCCGCUGCUGUGACGGAUGCUUUAAGGUUAGUAAAUGGAUCUCCUUUACUUAUGGUCUGCUUUUUAAAAUGGUGUUUUUGCACUGGUCUCUGGGUACAGUGAGUCUGCAACUCAGCCCUUUAAGAGUGGGUUUUCCAUUCUCUACAGUUUUAUACUUUUCCUGAACAUAAUCCUCAUUGAGUUUUCAAAACCUGGUGUUUUGGGAGCUCAUCUCUCCUGUGGAGGAUCUAAGGUUUGGGGUGCCUGAUGUAGAGCUCAAAUCCAUCACUCCUCAGGGAAAAGUUCCAUACCUUUGAGAUCCCUCCUAGUUGUGCUUCCCCAUGGCUGAUGUGUUUUCCCCCCUGGCAAGUCCACAUCUCUGUGUCUCCUCCUUCCCAUCCUGAUGUUACCCUUUCAGCCUUUGUCGUGGAGGCUUUGGUCAUCCAAUUUUCAGGUUCCUUUCAGAGGGCAUUAUUCCAUAUGUAGUGGUAGAUUUGUUGGUCUGUGGAAGGAGGUGAAUUCAGGGUCUUGUUACACUGCCAUCUUGAGACCAACUCUGUUCUGCCAUUUCUUGAGUGUGUUGCCUUGGUUAAGAACAAUUAUUUAUCGUGUGGGUCUCAGCUUUUUUAUCUGUAAAAUAGGGUUGAGACUAUGUCCUGUAACUGUAACCAGCAUCCCAUUGGUGAUCACUUAAUGCUCAACCACCUCCCCCAAUUUGACCUCCUUUCACAUCCCCAUCACGAGGCAGCUAGCUGCCUGUGCAGCCAGGUCUUGGGAGGAGUUCCAUAAUGAAAGCUAAACUCACAUUUUGGGGGCAUCUGCCAUGUGCCCACACAGUGCUAAAUGUUAACAUGGAUUGUCUCAUUCAGUCUUCACAAUGGCUUUGUUAAAGUCGAAGCUUAGAGAAGUGAUCUGCUCAGGAUCACAGCACAUGGCAGGAUCGAUUUUCUAUUCCAAGUCAACAUAUUUGCUUCUAGUUUAUGUAUCUAUUUCCUGUGGGCUUGGUUAGUGUAAGCCAGUGUUGAUCCCUGAGUGAACAGAUGAAAGGAGCACCUCGACCUGUGAGGUGGAAACCUGGUCUCUGCAGCUGUGACCUCCUGUGGCUGUUGGUUCAAGGAUGUCCAGAGUCCCAGGGCCAAGGAAUGGAAAAAUACUGCUCUGGCUCACCUACUCGCUGCCAUAGGAGCACUUGGGUGGCUGGGCCACUCUGAAUGGAGCCUGUGAUGGAGCUGAUCAUGUGAAUAAAGGUAGGGUUGCCACAAUCAGGGUCCCUGACCUUGAAUUAAUAAAACCAAUUGUGGCAACAAGGGUUCUGAUGUCCUUUGUGACUUAGACUGAGAGCUAGACAGCCAGUCAGAAGGCCUGCAGAACUUAAACACAGAGGCAUUUAUUGUCAGAAAGGGCAAAUCUUACACUCAAAUGGGUUUUGCCAUAUAUGCAUCAAAAGGGAGAUGCCCCCACCUCCCCCCACAGUGCAGGUUCCAGUUAUCCUGUGGCCUGGCAACCACUGUUCUCUUUUUCCAACAGCAACAGAAGUUGAAGUCCCUCCAGGUUACCCAGCAGCUAGAGGGGAUGAGGCAGGACAGACUCCUGAAUGCCAUCUGCCUGAGUCCCACCUAUUCUCUAAGCUUCAGGGAAACUGGAAAACGUCCCAACUGGCAAAGCGUACUUUCUUAAAAAGCUGGACGAAAGUAUGGGACAUUCCUUUGCUUAACAAAACAAAAUCAACUGGUCUGGUGACCUGAUGCAUCUUGGAAGAGACAGGGAGUCUCCCUGGGGAAUGAGGGGCAGGAAGAAAGGCCCAGG